AACAUUCAUUGCUGUCAGUGGGU
RNAcentral lists this microRNA (23 nucleotides) under Eptatretus burgeri (inshore hagfish). RNAcentral describes it as "Ebu-Mir-181-P2e_5p (mature (guide))". The record is from RNAcentral. Lineage: Eukaryota; Metazoa; Chordata; Myxini; Myxiniformes; Myxinidae.